GAAGGUGUAUCUAGAAAGACAAAUUAGAGCUUGAAAAAUAAAGCAUUUCAUUUACAUUGAAAAGUAUAUUGUGUAAUUCAAUUUAAUUUGAUAAUAAAAAUUUAUUAAUUUUUUUUUGUUUAAAAAUUUAUUUAAUAAAAUUAAUUUUAAAUUAAGUUUUUUUUGUAUAGUAUAUAGAUCAAAUAAUUUAUAUGAUAGUUAAUUAGUAUUGUAAAAGAAUAUUGAAAUAUUUGAAAAAAUUUUAAAUUAAAAGUAAAUUUUAUAUAUUGUACCUUGUGUAUCAGGGUUUAUUAAUUAAAAAUUAAAUCUUUAAUUUUUCUCGAAUUUAAGAGAGUUAAUUUAUUAUUUAAUUUUUUGUUUCAUAAAAAUUUAAAAUAAUAAAUUAGAAAUGAAAUGUUAUUCGUUCUUUAAUAUAUCUAGUUUUUUAAGAAAUAAAUUAAAUUUAGAUUAUUAAUAAAUAAUUAUUUAUUUAAAUAAUAAAUUAUUAUUAAUAAUUAAUAUUUUAAGGGAUAAGCUUUAAAAUAAGUUUUAUAAUGAUUUUUUAAUUUAAAAAUUAUAGGUUUAGAAAUAGUCAUUAAUUAUAAAAAUGUUAUAAUUUAUUUUAAGUUAAAAAUAAUUUUUAUUAAUUUAAGUUUUUAUUAAAAUAAUUUUUAAAAUUAUAUAAGAAUUAAAAUAAUGAUAAAAUUAGUAUAUUUAAUUGUUUAAAAUAAUUAAAUUGAGAGGUUAAAUUAAGGAAUUUGGCAAAUAAAUACUCGCCUGUUUAACAAAAACAUGUCUUUUUGAAUAUAAUUUAAAGUCUAAUCUGCCCACUGAAAAAUUUUAAAGGGCCGCGGUAUU
RNAcentral lists this ribosomal RNA (837 nucleotides) under Panorpodes paradoxus. RNAcentral's name for it is "partial 16S rRNA". Lineage: Eukaryota; Metazoa; Arthropoda; Insecta; Mecoptera; Panorpodidae. The record is from RNAcentral.